Molecule: ribosomal RNA, 1303 nt
Filed under: Escherichia coli O157
Lineage: Bacteria; Pseudomonadati; Pseudomonadota; Gammaproteobacteria; Enterobacterales; Enterobacteriaceae
Description: partial 23S ribosomal RNA
Rfam family: Bacterial large subunit ribosomal RNA
Source: RNAcentral
GUGGUCAGGUAGAGAAUACCAAGGCGCUUGAGAGAACUCGGGUGAAGGAACUAGGCAAAAUGGUGCCGUAACUUCGGGAGAAGGCACGCUGAUAUGUAGGUGAAGUCCCUCGCGGAUGGAGCUGAAAUCAGUCGAAGAUACCAGCUGGCUGCAACUGUUUAUUAAAAACACAGCACUGUGCAAACACGAAAGUGGACGUAUACGGUGUGACGCCUGCCCGGUGCCGGAAGGUUAAUUGAUGGGGUCAGCGCAAGCGAAGCUCUUGAUCGAAGCCCCGGUAAACGGCGGCCGUAACUAUAACGGUCCUAAGGUAGCGAAAUUCCUUGUCGGGUAAGUUCCGACCUGCACGAAUGGCGUAAUGAUGGCCAGGCUGUCUCCACCCGAGACUCAGUGAAAUUGAACUCGCUGUGAAGAUGCAGUGUACCCGCGGCAAGACGGAAAGACCCCGUGAACCUUUACUAUAGCUUGACACUGAACAUUGAGCCUUGAUGUGUAGGAUAGGUGGGAGGCUUUGAAGUGUGGACGCCAGUCUGCAUGGAGCCGACCUUGAAAUACCACCCUUUAAUGUUUGAUGUUCUAACGUGGACCCGUGAUCCGGGUUGCGGACAGUGUCUGGUGGGUAGUUUGACUGGGGCGGUCUCCUCCUAAAGAGUAACGGAGGAGCACGAAGGUUGGCUAAUCCUGGUCGGACAUCAGGAGGUUAGUGCAAUGGCAUAAGCCAGCUUGACUGCGAGCGUGACGGCGCGAGCAGGUGCGAAAGCAGGUCAUAGUGAUCCGGUGGUUCUGAAUGGAAGGGCCAUCGCUCAACGGAUAAAAGGUACUCCGGGGAUAACAGGCUGAUACCGCCCAAGAGUUCAUAUCGACGGCGGUGUUUGGCACCUCGAUGUCGGCUCAUCACAUCCUGGGGCUGAAGUAGGUCCCAAGGGUAUGGCUGUUCGCCAUUUAAAGUGGUACGCGAGCUGGGUUUAGAACGUCGUGAGACAGUUCGGUCCCUAUCUGCCGUGGGCGCUGGAGAACUGAGGGGGGCUGCUCCUAGUACGAGAGGACCGGAGUGGACGCAUCACUGGUGUUCGGGUUGUCAUGCCAAUGGCACUGCCCGGUAGCUAAAUGCGGAAGAGAUAAGUGCUGAAAGCAUCUAAGCACGAAACUUGCCCCGAGAUGAGUUCUCCCUGACCCUUUAAGGGUCCUGAAGGAACGUUGAAGACGACGACGUUGAUAGGCCGGGUGUGUAAGCGCAGCGAUGCGUUGAGCUAACCGGUACUAAUGAACCGUGAGGCUUAACCUUACAACGCCGAAGGUGUUU